CGCGUAAGUAACCUGCCUGGUAGCGGGGGAUAACUAUUGGAAACGAUAGCUAAUACCGCAUAAGAGUAGAUGUUGCAUGACAUUUGCUUAAAAGGUGCAAUUGCAUCACUACCAGAUGGACCUGCGUUGUAUUAGCUAGUUGGUGGGGUAACGGCUCACCAAGGCGACGAUACAUAGCCGACCUGAGAGGGUGAUCGGCCACACUGGGACUGAGACACGGCCCAG
This 225-nucleotide ribosomal RNA is filed under the name uncultured Streptococcaceae bacterium. Its description in RNAcentral is "partial 16S ribosomal RNA". It matches the Rfam family "Bacterial small subunit ribosomal RNA", at positions 114 to 334 of the family's 1533-position model. The record is from RNAcentral. Lineage: Bacteria; Bacillati; Bacillota; Bacilli; Lactobacillales; Streptococcaceae.